GGGUUCUACCGUUGGUCGGGCUUUGUCUGUACUGGCGUGUAGAAUUUCUACCUUCUGGGGAACCAUUAUGUUAUUAAUUUAGCGUGGUGGGAAACCAGGACCUUUACCUUGAAAAAUUAGAGUGUUCAAAGCAGGCUUAUGUCUGAAUACAUUAGCAUGGAAUAAUAGAAUAGGACGGUGGUCCUGUUUUGUUGGUUUCUGAAUCACCGUAAUGAUUAAUAG
Molecule: ribosomal RNA, 222 nt
Filed under: uncultured Glomeromycotina
Lineage: Eukaryota; Fungi; Glomeromycota
Description: partial 18S ribosomal RNA
Rfam family: Eukaryotic small subunit ribosomal RNA (bases 38-222)
Source: RNAcentral